Molecule: ribosomal RNA, 419 nt
Filed under: bacterium
Lineage: Bacteria
Description: partial 16S ribosomal RNA
Rfam family: Bacterial small subunit ribosomal RNA
Source: RNAcentral
UGGGGGAUAUUGCACAAUGGGCGAAAGCCUGAUGCAGCGACGCCGCGUGGGGGAUGAAGGCCUUCGGGUUGUAAACUUCUUUUGCUCUGAACAAGGCAUGCUAAUGGGUGUGUUGAGUGUAGGGGUUGAUUAGCGCCGGCUAACUACGUGCCAGCAGCCGCGGUAAUCCGUAGGGCGCGAGCGUUGUCCGGAAUUAUUGGGCGUAAAGGGCUUGUAGGUGGCUGGUUGCGUCUGUCGUGAAAGCUCAUGGCUUAACUGUGGGUUUGCGGUGGGUACGGGCUGGCUUGAGUGCAGUAGGGGAGGCUGGAAUUCCUGGUGUAGCGGUGGAAUGCGCAGAUAUCAGGAGGAAUACCGGUGGCGAAGGCGGGUCUCUGGGCUGUUACUGACACUGAGGAGCGAAAGCAUGGGGAGCGAACAGG